RNAcentral lists this small nuclear RNA (103 nucleotides) under Notamacropus eugenii (tammar wallaby). Lineage: Eukaryota; Metazoa; Chordata; Mammalia; Diprotodontia; Macropodidae. The record is from RNAcentral.
GGGCUUGUUAUAAUAGCACAUAUGCCAAAAUUGGAGUGAUCAGAAAUUAGCAUGGCCCCUGUGCAAGGAUGACAUGCAAAUUUGAGAAACUUUCAGGACGGCA